GUCAGCUGACUAGACUUCUCAGUUUGCAGACUGAAACUAAAACUAAGUACAGUAGUUUACAGUCAAUCGAGACAGUCUGACUUUAUGCAUCCACGAGUUUUAAUUUACGCAGGCAUAAACACGGAAAAGAAAAUCGGUGGUUUCAACACCUAGAGGUCCGCUUGUGCUUAGAGCAGAGAUAAAAGGCAUCAGAAACCAGUUUGAUAUCUUCCAUAUCAACAUCACAGUGUUUCUAUCUGAGAGUUUUAUAUUAAUAUUUCAUGUAUUACUUCGUGUGCGUUUAAUGAAAGAACAGGUCACGUAGUUAAGCUUCGGAGAGGGUUAGCUUUUGCAGCUCCCCUAAACUUGAAUUUCCAAUAAGACUUUCGUCUCGUCAAUCAAAAAGUGUUCUAGACUCUUCGUUUAAUAUGAACAGGUAUCUUUACGUAACAAGAUAACUGAUUCUAUAAAAAAAAAUUUUCUACCUUGUUUACAAAACAUUAACGUAACUUAUUUCGGUUGAUGUGGAAUUCACAAGGUAAGCUUGUAUAAACAACGAAGACCACCACUGACACUGCUUGAUUUUGUAAAAUUCACCUUAUAUUAUCAUUCUGUAUACGCAAAAGUCUCUUGGGCGGUUUGUCUCAGGGAAGAUCACCAACUAGAUUUUGUAGAAAUUUAUCCUCUCCCAACUAUUAUCUUCUUCAUUAAUUCAAUAUUUCUCACAGAACACAAUACAUUUCUUCGCUUUUAAAAUGAUUAAUUCACAGAAUUAAGUAAUUACAAGGAGAUCUCACUCAAUUUUCCCUUGACACCUCAUGGUCGUGUAUGGUUUUUUCUUCCUUAAAUCGCUGCUAAUUCGACGUUUCUCAUAUGCCACUGCAAAUCAAUAUAUACGAUAAACUCAAAAGAACUAUACUUUCAAAAUAAUACAGGCAAAAAAGUGUCGUACUUAGAACUUCACACCUACACUAGUCGAUAGAAAACCUCUCAAAAUUUUGUUCACACGUCACGGUUUGUACUCCGCGAGUCACAUGGCAGAUGUCGAGACGAUGAUCGAACGGGACGAAAAUUUUGUCUUUUAUGUAGCCGCAAAAGAAGAAGUCGCACUGAGUUAAGUCUGGCGAUCUCGGUGGCCAUCUACACCACACGACGUCACCGUCUCCUGCAUGACCGAACAAUAUCCAUCUCCGUAGAAGGUACGCGUUCAUGAGGUUCCAAACAGCCACGUGGAACUGAGGCGGUGCCCCAUCUUUAUGGAAGAAAAGUCGUUAGAAUGCUCUUUCAAUUGGGGCAGAAACCAUGAGUCCGUCCAAAAUGGUAAAAAGAGUAGCAAAAGCAGGCGACCUCGAGUGAAUGCCAAAGCCAUGACAGCUGUUGCAAAGAUGAAUGGUCAGAAUCUUAAGUGGCGCCACGGGUCUGAGGCGCGGUCACUAUGAAACACGUUUUCUUUUAUGAGCAAAUGAUCAGGUUUUCCUGGUACUGUUCCUCUCGAACUGAAGCUAAAACUACACCACUCAGAUUUCAAGUAUCUGAUUGUAACACUUUCCUUAUAAUGUGUGAUGUUCUUGGUAUGGCUGUUUUUUGUAGAGAAUCUAUUGAAUACUUUCCUGGUAUUGUCCCCCCCCCCUCCCCACACGCACUCACACAUAUAAUAUCUUUUUUAUUGUUACCACAGGAGUGAGGUUAUGUCUCUGUGGAAAUAUGCGUGAACAUGGGUCUCGGCGGUGAGAAGCUAGCGACUAAUCGACUAAGCCAAUGUUAUCAAGCUUUAAAGAAGUGAUAGUGUUAAACUAAACACCAUAGUGUUUGCUUUCUAAUUUAAUAAGAGCGGAAACGUACACUCCAACAGAGUCUAAAAUUUACAUAUGUUUUCAAAAUGUAUAUGCGUAGAUAUAACACUUCACAGAAUAAUUAACUGUGUAUCCUUGAACUUCAUUAAUAAGAUUUCGCAUCAGUGUAUGUCAGACUCUUGUAAUUUAUAGUGUUAUUUAUAUGUUUGUAAUCAUCUUUUAACUUAAACCUAAAUAUAGACCUAAGAUCAUCCUA
Non-coding RNA from Zootermopsis nevadensis, 2028 nucleotides. The record is from RefSeq and is a predicted model, not a curated record. Lineage: Eukaryota; Metazoa; Arthropoda; Insecta; Blattodea; Termopsidae.